Molecule: small RNA, 32 nt
Filed under: Bombyx mori (domestic silkworm)
Lineage: Eukaryota; Metazoa; Arthropoda; Insecta; Lepidoptera; Bombycidae
Description: ovarian small RNA-5429
Source: RNAcentral
GGACCGGGCGGAUCGCCUCGACAGUCCGUCGC